UACGAAGGGAGCUAGCGUUGUUCGGAAUCACUGGGCGUAAAGCGCACGUAGGCGGAUUUGUCAGUCAGGGGUGAAAUCCCGGGGCUCAACCUCGGAACUGCCUCUGAUACAGCAAGUCUUGAGUCCGAUAGAGGUGGGUGGAAUUCCUAGUGUAGAGGUGAAAUUCGUAGAUAUUAGGAAGAACACCGGUGGCGAAGGCGGCCCACUGGAUCGGUACUGACGCUGAGGUGCGAAAGCGUGGGGAGCGAACAGG
RNAcentral lists this ribosomal RNA (253 nucleotides) under uncultured bacterium. RNAcentral's name for it is "partial 16S ribosomal RNA". It matches the Rfam family "Bacterial small subunit ribosomal RNA", at positions 524 to 776 of the family's 1533-position model. The record is from RNAcentral.